RNAcentral lists this ribosomal RNA (1476 nucleotides) under metagenome. Its description in RNAcentral is "bacterial SSU rRNA". It matches the Rfam family "Bacterial small subunit ribosomal RNA". The record is from RNAcentral.
AGAGUUUGAUCCUGGCUCAGAUUGAACGCUGGCGGCAUGGAUUAGGCAUGCAAGUCGAACGUGAAGCUCUAGCUUGCUAGAGUGGAAAGUGGCGAAAGGGUGAGUAACACGUGAAUAAUCUGCCCUCAAGUCGGGGAUAGCCUCUGGAAACGGAGAUUAAUACCGGAUGUGGUAAUUUGAUCGCAUGAUCUUAUUACUAAAAUCUUUUUGCUUGAGGAUGAGUUCGCGGCCCAUUAGCUAGUUGGUAAGGUAACGGCUUACCAAGGCUCUGACGGGUAGGUGGUCUGAGAGGAUGGUCACCCACACUGGGACUGAGACACUGCCCAGACUCCUACGGGAGGCUGCAGUCGAGAAUCUUCCGCAAUGGGCGAAAGCCUGACGGAGCAAUGCCGCGUGAACGAUGACGGUCUUCGGAUUGUAAAGUUCUGUCACCAGGGACGAAAUUUGACGGUACCUGGAGAGGAAGUGACGGCUAACUACGUGCCAGCAGCCGCGGUAAUACGUAGGUCACGAGCGUUAAUCGGAUUUAUUGGGCGUAAAGGGUCCGCAGGGGGUUUAUUAAGUCUGAUGUGAAAGCCGGCGGCUCAACCGCUGAACUGCAUUGGAAACUGAUGAACUGGAGUAUUGGAGAGGAAAGUGGAAUUCCUGGUGUAGCGGUGGAAUGCUUAGAUAUCAGGAGGAACAUCAAUGGCGAAGGCAGCUUUCUGGACAAUUACUGACCCUCAUGGACGAAAGCGUGGGUAGCAAACAGGAUUAGAUACCCUGGUAGUCCACGCUGUAAACGGUCUACACUAGUUGUGGGAGGAUUUGACCCCUUCCGUGACCAAGCUAACGCGUUAAGUGUAGCGCCUGGGGAGUACGGUCGCAAGAUUAAAACUCAAAGGAAUUGACGGGGGCCCGCACAAGCGGUGGAGCAUGUGGCUUAAUUCGAGGCAACGCGAAGAACCUUACCUGGAUUUGACAUAUAUCUGACAGUCUUAGAGAUAAGAUCUUCUUUCGGGACAGAUAUACAGGUGCUGCAUGGCUGUCGUCAGCUCGUGCCGUGAGGUGUUCGGUUAAGUCCGGCAACGAGCGCAACCCACAUUGUUAGUUGCUACCAGGUGAUGCUGGGCACUCUAGCAAGACUGCCUGUGUUAAGCAGGAGGAAGGCGUGGAUGACGUCAAGUCAGUAUGGCCCUUACGUCCAGGGCUGCACACGUGCUACAAUGGGUGAUACAGAAGGACGCCAACUCGCGAGAGUGAGCAAAUCCCAAAAAUCAUCCCCAGUUCGGAUUGGAGUCUGCAACUCGACUCCAUGAAGUCGGAAUCGCUAGUAAAGGCGUAUCAGCUACGACGCCUUGAAUACGUUCCCGGGCCUUGUACACACCGCCCGUCACAUCAUGGGAGCUGACUGCACCCGAAGCCGCCGGCCCAACCGUUUACGGAGGGAGGCGUCUAAGGUGUGCUCAGUGACUGGGAUGAAGUCGAAACAAGGUA